This is a long non-coding RNA of Gadus chalcogrammus (walleye pollock), 606 nucleotides long. RefSeq lists it as uncharacterized. The record is from RefSeq and is a predicted model, not a curated record. The transcript has 3 exons. Lineage: Eukaryota; Metazoa; Chordata; Actinopteri; Gadiformes; Gadidae.
GUUAGGAUAAAACAUUGCAUUUGAACAUGUGUGGCAGGUUGAGUGUUGCUCCUCCUCCACUCAGGUGAUUUCUGGUGGGCAGAUUGCAGAGUGGUUUCACCUGUAUAAGUGCUGCGCCUUCUCUGGCGCUCACACUGCUGCCUGGCACUCGUGGCGAGGACUCGGUGUGGCGUCUGUUAGUUGUUGGUUUGUUGUCGGUUGGUGUGGUGUGCUUCAGUCACUUGAAGCGUUGUGGCCGUGUUGUUCGGGGGCGGCAUUGUGAAGAGUGAGGGGAGUGUGGCAUCCGCUCUGUACUGUUGCCGCAGCCGGUGAUCAGUUUCGGGGGCGUAAAGCUCUCUUCGUUCGGCUGUUGGAGCCGCAGCGGUGCUUUUGCUUUUCUUCCUCCUCCUGUGCUCUGGUGAAGCUGCCCUGCACGGCUCUGUGACGUAGCCUACACCUGGCGAUCCCCAAACGUAAACCAUCCACGGCCUCCGGUCCUGGGGCGGCCACUCUGUCUUCGCCAGCCGCUUCGUCUUCUCCAUCCACUCCGUCGUCUUCAUCAUCUUCGGCUGCUCCGGCACCGUUGCCUUUUUCCACACAGUCCGAUGUGGCGGUUGCAUUCCCACG